GGGUGAUUAGUCUAGUGGUUAGGACGCUUCGUUGUGGUAAACCGAAGAAACCCCGGUUCGAUUCCGGGAUCGCCCA
RNAcentral lists this transfer RNA (76 nucleotides) under Thermochaetoides thermophila DSM 1495. Its description in RNAcentral is "Chaetomium thermophilum var. thermophilum DSM 1495 tRNA-His". It matches the Rfam family "tRNA". Rfam says of the family: Transfer RNA (tRNA) molecules are approximately 80 nucleotides in length. The record is from RNAcentral. Lineage: Eukaryota; Fungi; Ascomycota; Sordariomycetes; Sordariales; Chaetomiaceae.